This 955-nucleotide ribosomal RNA is filed under the name drinking water bacterium TW-O1. RNAcentral's name for it is "bacterial SSU rRNA". It matches the Rfam family "Bacterial small subunit ribosomal RNA", at positions 547 to 1503 of the family's 1533-position model. The record is from RNAcentral.
GGAUUACUGGGCGUAAAGAGCUCGCAGGUGGUUUGUCGCGCUGUUCGGAAAGCUCACAGCUUAACUGUGGACGGGAUUGCGAUAUGGGCAGACUGGAGUACUGCGAGGAAAACUGGAUUUCCUGGGGUACGGGGGGAUGGCGCAAAUUUUGGGAGAAACCCCGGGGGCAAAGGGAGUUUUUGGGCUGUAACCUGACCUUAAGGACGAAAAGCUGGGGAAGCAAACAGGAUAAAAUCCCUGGGAAGCCCCGCCCGUAAACGGGGGGGACUAGGGGUGGGUUUCCUUCCUUGGUAUCCGUGCAAUAUCUAACAUUUUAAACUCCCCCUGGGGAGAGCACGGCCGCGGGGCUAAAACUCAAAGGAAUUGACGGGGGCCCGCACAAGCGGGAGAAUGUGUGGAUUAAUUCAAUGCAACGAAAAAAACCUUACCUGGUUUUGAUCUGCUGAAAACCCUUCUAAUAAUAGUUCUCCCUCUGGGGCCUGUGGACAGGUGGUGCAUGGUUGUCGUCAGCUCGUGUCGUGAGAUGUUGGGUUAAGUCCCGCAACGAGCGCAACCCUUGUCUCAUGUUGCCAUCACUAUAUGGGGGACACUCAGGAGACACUGCCGGACUCACCUGAGAAGAGGGGGGAUAAGACGUAAUCUUCUUGUGCCCCUUAUGUCCGGGUAUUCACACAUGCUACUGUGCGGGGCACAAAGGGCUGCGAUCCCGUGGGGGAGAUCAUAUCCUUUCAACGUUGUCCUCUGUGAUUAUAGGGUGCUGCUCCUCUACCUCAAGAUGUCGGAGUCAGUAGUAAUCGAUGAUCAUGCCCGGUGCGAUACAUACCCUGCCGGGGCUCACACACACCGUCAGACACGUCGAGAAUGUCACACACACCCUAAGUCGGGGGACUUAUUCUGUAGUGGGAGGCAGCCGUCGAAAGAGAUGAUCGGGGUUGAGACGUAACAAGGAAACGGU